GAAUAUUGGCCAAUGGGGGCAACCCUGAUCCAGCCAUGCCGCGUGUGUGAAGAAGGCCUUUUGGUUGUAAAGCACUUUAAGCAGUGAAGAAGACUCCAUGGUUAAUAACCAUGGACGAGGCCAUUAGCUGCAGAAGAAGCACGCGCUAACUCUGUGCCAGCAGCCGCGGUAAUACAGAGGGUGCAAGCGUUAGUCGGAAUUCCUGAGCGUAAAGCGAGCGUAGUUGGCUUGAUAAGUCAGAUGUGAAAGCCCCGGGCUUAACCUUGGAACGGCAUCUGAUACUGUUAGGCUAGAGUAGGUGAGAGGAAGGUAGAAUUCCAGGUUUAGCGGUGAAAUGCGUAGAGAUCUGGAGGAAUACCGAUGGCGAAGGCAGCCUUCUGGCAUCAUACUGACACUGAGGUUCGAAAGCGUGGGUAGCAAACAGG
This 425-nucleotide ribosomal RNA is filed under the name uncultured bacterium. Its description in RNAcentral is "partial 16S ribosomal RNA". It matches the Rfam family "Bacterial small subunit ribosomal RNA", at positions 359 to 776 of the family's 1533-position model. The record is from RNAcentral.